CCUACGGGCGGCAGCAGUGAGGAAUAUUGGUCAAUGGCCGGAAGGCUGAACCAGCCAUGCCGCGUGAAGGUCAGUGCCCUAUGGGCGUUAAACUUCUUUUGUGCGGGAGCAAUAAUGGUCACGUGUGGCCAGACGAGAGUACCGUACGAAUAAGCAUCGGCUAACUCCGUGCCAGCAGCCGCGGUAAUACGGGGGAUGCAAGCGUUAUCCGGAUUUAUUGGGUUUAAAGGGUGCGUAGGCUGUGAGGUAAGUCAGACGUGAAAUUCCAGGGCUCAACCCUGGAACUGCGUUUGAAACUGUUCUUCUUGAGUGAUGGAGAGGCAGGCGGAAUUCCGUGUGUAGCGGUGAAAUGCGUAGAUAUACGGAGGAACACCAGUGGCGAAGGCGGCCUGCUGGACAUUAACUGACGCUGAGGCGCGAAAGCGUGGGGAGCAAACAGGAUUAGAUACCCCUGUAGUC
Molecule: ribosomal RNA, 459 nt
Filed under: uncultured bacterium
Lineage: Bacteria
Description: partial 16S ribosomal RNA
Rfam family: Bacterial small subunit ribosomal RNA
Source: RNAcentral